Molecule: ribosomal RNA, 2308 nt
Filed under: Staphylococcus aureus
Lineage: Bacteria; Bacillati; Bacillota; Bacilli; Caryophanales; Staphylococcaceae
Description: partial 23S ribosomal RNA
Rfam family: Bacterial large subunit ribosomal RNA
Source: RNAcentral
GAAUGAACCGGCGAGUUACGAUUUGAUGCAAGGUUAAGCAGUAAAUGUGGAGCCGUAGCGAAAGCGAGUCUGAAUAGGGCGUUUAGUAUUUGGUCGUAGACCCGAAACCAGGUGAUCUACCCUUGGUCAGGUUGAAGUUCAGGUAACACUGAAUGGAGGACCGAACCGACUUACGUUGAAAAGUGAGCGGAUGAACUGAGGGUAGCGGAGAAAUUCCAAUCGAACCUGGAGAUAGCUGGUUCUCUCCGAAAUAGCUUUAGGGCUAGCCUCAAGUGAUGAUUAUUGGAGGUAGAGCACUGUUUGGACGAGGGGCCCCUCUCGGGUUACCGAAUUCAGACAAACUCCGAAUGCCAAUUAAUUUAACUUGGGAGUCAGAACAUGGGUGAUAAGGUCCGUGUUCGAAAGGGAAACAGCCCAGACCACCAGCUAAGGUCCCAAAAUAUAUGUUAAGUGGAAAAGGAUGUGGCGUUGCCCAGACAACUAGGAUGUUGGCUUAGAAGCAGCCAUCAUUUAAAGAGUGCGUAAUAGCUCACUAGUCGAGUGACACUGCGCCGAAAAUGUACCGGGGCUAAACAUAUUACCGAAGCUGUGGAUUGUCCUUUGGACAAUGGUAGGAGAGCGUUCUAAGGGCGUUGAAGCAUGAUCGUAAGGACAUGUGGAGCGCUUAGAAGUGAGAAUGCCGGUGUGAGUAGCGAAAGACGGGUGAGAAUCCCGUCCACCGAUUGACUAAGGUUUCCAGAGGAAGGCUCGUCCGCUCUGGGUUAGUCGGGUCCUAAGCUGAGGCCGACAGGCGUAGGCGAUGGAUAACAGGUUGAUAUUCCUGUACCACCUAUAAUCGUUUUAAUCGAUGGGGGGACGCAGUAGGAUAGGCGAAGCGUGCGAUUGGAUUGCACGUCUAAGCAGUAAGGCUGAGUAUUAGGCAAAUCCGGUACUCGUUAAGGCUGAGCUGUGAUGGGGAGAAGACAUUGUGUCUUCGAGUCGUUGAUUUCACACUGCCGAGAAAAGCCUCUAGAUAGAAAAUAGGUGCCCGUACCGCAAACCGACACAGGUAGUCAAGAUGAGAAUUCUAAGGUGAGCGAGCGAACUCUCGUUAAGGAACUCGGCAAAAUGACCCCGUAACUUCGGGAGAAGGGGUGCUCUUUAGGGUUAACGCCCAGAAGAGCCGCAGUGAAUAGGCCCAAGCGACUGUUUAUCAAAAACACAGGUCUCUGCUAAACCGUAAGGUGAUGUAUAGGGGCUGACGCCUGCCCGGUGCUGGAAGGUUAAGAGGAGUGGUUAGCUUCUGCGAAGCUACGAAUCGAAGCCCCAGUAAACGGCGGCCGUAACUAUAACGGUCCUAAGGUAGCGAAAUUCCUUGUCGGGUAAGUUCCGACCCGCACGAAAGGCGUAACGAUUUGGGCACUGUCUCAACGAGAGACUCGGUGAAAUCAUAGUACCUGUGAAGAUGCAGGUUACCCGCGACAGGACGGAAAGACCCCGUGGAGCUUUACUGUAGCCUGAUAUUGAAAUUCGGCACAGCUUGUACAGGAUAGGUAGGAGCCUUUGAAACGUGAGCGCUAGCUUACGUGGAGGCGCUGGUGGGAUACUACCCUAGCUGUGUUGGCUUUCUAACCCGCACCACUUAUCGUGGUGGGAGACAGUGUCAGGCGGGCAGUUUGACUGGGGCGGUCGCCUCCUAAAAGGUAACGGAGGCGCUCAAAGGUUCCCUCAGAAUGGUUGGAAAUCAUUCAUAGAGUGUAAAGGCAUAAGGGAGCUUGACUGCGAGACCUACAAGUCGAGCAGGGUCGAAAGACGGACUUAGUGAUCCGGUGGUUCCGCAUGGAAGGGCCAUCGCUCAACGGAUAAAAGCUACCCCGGGGAUAACAGGCUUAUCUCCCCCAAGAGUUCACAUCGACGGGGAGGUUUGGCACCUCGAUGUCGGCUCAUCGCAUCCUGGGGCUGUAGUCGGUCCCAAGGGUUGGGCUGUUCGCCCAUUAAAGCGGUACGCGAGCUGGGUUCAGAACGUCGUGAGACAGUUCGGUCCCUAUCCGUCGUGGGCGUAGGAAAUUUGAGAGGAGCUGUCCUUAGUACGAGAGGACCGGGAUGGACAUACCUCUGGUGUACCAGUUGUCGUGCCAACGGCAUAGCUGGGUAGCUAUGUGUGGACGGGAUAAGUGCUGAAAGCAUCUAAGCAUGAAGCCCCCCUCAAGAUGAGAUUUCCCAACUUCGGUUAUAAGAUCCCUCAAAGAUGAUGAGGUUAAUAGGUUCGAGGUGGAAGCAUGGUGACAUGUGGAGCUGACGAAUACUAAUCGAUCGAAGACUUAAUCAA